RNAcentral lists this ribosomal RNA (711 nucleotides) under Triticum aestivum (bread wheat). RNAcentral describes it as "partial small subunit ribosomal RNA". Lineage: Eukaryota; Viridiplantae; Streptophyta; Magnoliopsida; Poales; Poaceae. The record is from RNAcentral.
AUGACAAGAAGAUAUUGGAACAUUAAUUUGAAAGAGAUGAUAGAAGCAUGAGUUCAUUUUGGUCAUGGUAUUAAGAAAUGGAAUCCUAAAAUGGCCCCUUACAUUUCGGCAAAGCAUAAAGGUACUCAUAUUAAAAAUCUCGCUAGAACGGCUCGUUUUUUAUCAGAAGCUUGUGAUUUAGUUUUUGAUGCAGCAAGUCAGGGAAAAAUUUUCUUAAUUGUUGGUACCAAAAAAAGAGCAACAGAUUUAGUAGCAUCAGCUGCAAUAAGGGCUCGUUGUCAUUAUGUUAAUAAAAAGUGGUUCAGUGGUAUGUUAACAAAUUGGUCGAUUACGAAAACUAGACUUUCUCAAUUUAGAGACUUAAGAGCGGAAGAAAAAAUGGGAAAAUUCCACCAUCUCCCAAAAAGAGAUGUGGCAAUCUUGAAGAGAAAAUUAUCUAUCUUGCAAAGGUAUCUCGGCGGGAUCAAAUAUAUGACGAGGUUGCCAGACAUUGUGAUCGUCCUUGAUCAGCAAAAAGAGUAUAUAGCUCUUCGGGAAUGUGCCAUUUUGGGGAUUCCUACUAUUUCUUUAGUCGAUACAAAUUGUGACCCAGAUCUCGCGAAUAUAUCGAUUCCAGCCAACGAUGACACUAUGACUUCAAUUCGAUUGAUUCUUAACAAAUUAGUAUUUUCAAUUUGUGAGGCCCGUUCUCUCUAUAUAAGAAAUCGUUGA